Molecule: long non-coding RNA, 882 nt
Organism: Uranotaenia lowii
Lineage: Eukaryota; Metazoa; Arthropoda; Insecta; Diptera; Culicidae
Exons: 3
Source: RefSeq, a predicted model, not a curated record
UUUCGAGGCUCCACUUAGCAAAAAUGAGCUGUUACUUUCCGUUAGCAAAAUUUUUUUUUUACUGUUGAGUUAGCACUUUCCCAAAUUGUCAUGACUUUUGCUCGAUUUGAGUAAAAAUAACCAAUUUACUACUAAUUUUAGCAUUAAUAGUAGCAUGGACUCAAACUUUUAGCCUGUGCCCAAACCGCGUUCUUUAUGUGCUCAAAUUUUAGAAAGGCGACACAGGCGGAAACCUGUUAGGUUAUUCUUGUUUUUAUUUUGCACCGCGCGCCGUGAAAACAUUUUUGUUCCGCUCCUCGAUUUUUCGUCGUUUUAUUUGAAUUUAAAAUUGGAUCAACAGCAGCUCGUUGGACGGAAUGCUGCAGAAGUAGCCAUUCUGCCUCCAGCGGAACGGUUACCGGUUCGGUAAUCAGUGGAAAAAUCCGAACCCCGAAGCAGCAGUAGUGGUUCCGCCGGGUGAUGUGUGUGGUUUACCUGUUUGGUGAUUUCAUUGGUGAAGAUGUAAUCACUGAUCAUAGUGUAAUAGUAAAAGCUUCAAGAACACUUUUCGAAACCCGCGGAGUGAUGCGAACAAAAAUAAAAAAGUAGAUAAAAAAAAAAUCUAAUCUCACUUUUUAAUAUUUGAAAAUGAAAACCCUUCAUCAAAAAUAAUUUAAUUUUGGAUUUUACUCAAAUUCUAGCAAAUGUUAGAAAAAUAAAUUUUGCUAAAAUUUUAGCAAACAAAGGUUUUUGUUUGCUUGAAAAUUAGUAAACAUUCAGUCAGGACACAUUUUGCUAUUUUGCUAAAAUUUUAGUUGAAAAAAAUUGCUAAAUUGAUUGCUAAGUUUUUAGCUGGUCAAAUUUGAGCAAAAUUUUGCUAAUUUUCGGCCUCGAAAAUUUUGU